Molecule: long non-coding RNA, 1632 nt
Filed under: Bos indicus x Bos taurus (hybrid cattle)
Lineage: Eukaryota; Metazoa; Chordata; Mammalia; Artiodactyla; Bovidae
Description: lncRNA (ENSBIXG00005021376.1)
Source: RNAcentral
GGCUGUAGCCCCCCUGCCUACCACUUGCCCAUCUCGAUCAGUUCUAGAGGCUUCACUGGCAACUCCAGCCAGACACAGCCUCUUCCUCGCCAGGACCCUCCGGUGGUCUCAGGGCUGAGCUCCAGGCGCCCUGGUUGUGGUGAUCUGUGUGUGCCAACUGUAGGCUCCCUGAAGCAAAGCGCCUGGUCGGAUUCAUCCUUCUUGUUGCAGUAGCAUCUACAAUGGGACAGAUCGCAAACAAAGGCGCGCACAGACCCCUUCGUUUACAUCUGCUAGAACGGAGCCUGGGUGUGGCGAAGGCCAUCUACCUGGAGGGCCUGACAGGUUGCUACGCAGUACCGAGAAGAGCUCUCUGCGCUGCGGCGGUGAUUGGGUGGCCUCGGCCUGCGGUGGCGUGGAGCGAGGUUUGGGGUCCCAGCCAGAGAUGGAGGCUGGUGGCUGUGGUGAAGGCACCAGUUCCUAGACCAGUGGUCAGUGACGAGGGCCCUGGACAUUCGGCUUUGCAGAGAGGAAUCUCUACAAAGACGGAAAGCAGAGAAGCAAGUCAAGUAUUUAUUAGGAGGGAAGAGAGUACAUUCUGUGUGGACAGAUGCAGGGGAGCUUCCGCGAGUCACGCCCUCGUGGUGGUUUGAGUCCCUUUCAGGGGGCACUUCUUCCAGGUUUGGCCAGUCAUCUUGGUUUGCCUGGUUCACAGUUCACGUUUGGUAUAUCUCAGGAUCCUCCCACCUGUGCGCAGGCAUCUCUUGGCCAAGAUGGAUUUUACUGAACAGUGUAUGGGUAGAGAACAUCCCUUGACUGACCCCUUGGCCUCCGAGGAGCUUCUCUGCGCAUGUGUGGUGGGCCAGGUCUCCUGACCUGGAGAAGGAGAAAUAUGUGGUCUCGGCAGGCCCCCUCCCUUCCCUGUCCUGCUAUUCUUAUCUCGGCAUUUCAGACCACAGGGAGUGAAGCUCCAACUGCUUUACCCCGGGGGCCCAUCUUCCUCCUGCAUCAGCAGGGCCUUGCUGGUUAUCCAUUUUAAAUCCAGCCGUGUGUCCCUGUCCAUCCCAAACUCCUAACUACCUCUUCCUCUCAUCCUUCCUCCACUAACCAUAAGUUAGUUCUCUAAGUCUGUGAAUCUGUUUCUGUAAAAACUGGAAUAUUGUUGAGUGAAAUCUCCUGUUUCAAAUGUUGGCUCAGUUAAAAAAAAAAACACUGUAUGGGUCAAAAAAGAACCCCAAACAAAGCAUAUCUUGCAUCCGGUCACUGGGCGGCCAGUUUUCAGUCCAGUAUAAGGAUGUGUUCCUUCGUCCACUGGGGACAGUAUUUUCAAGAGCUUAUUAGGAUUUUCCUUCCUGACCUAGAGUCUCUGAUUGUCCCCAUUGGGACCCUAGGUUUCCUUAUUUUGUGGGUCCAACUAGAUAGGGCCAGUCUCAAGCCAGAAGGAAAAAAAAAACCACAACAGAAACACAGGUAGGAAAUACUCACUAUCAAGGAGUAUAAUGGGGAGCCGAGGGGGAAAGGGAUGGUGAGAAAUGGAAGGAGAAAGACCUCUGAACCAGAGGCGGCCCAUUCAGCACCAAGGUUGGGGGCCUGCCCGCUGCCCAUCCACCCAGGUUAAGUGACACUCUCCCAAGCCUUGAGACCCUGUCCAAC